RNAcentral lists this long non-coding RNA (1917 nucleotides) under Callithrix jacchus (white-tufted-ear marmoset). RNAcentral's name for it is "lncRNA (ENSCJAG00000074779.1)". The record is from RNAcentral. Lineage: Eukaryota; Metazoa; Chordata; Mammalia; Primates; Cebidae.
CUCUCAGACAUCCAGUGCAUUUCACCAGAUCUGAAUUAAACUGGAAUAUUAUACUGGAAGUACUGUCUUGGGAUGAAGAACUAUAAUAUCUCUUAGUAAUUUUCCUUCAGGAAUUACUCCUAAGUAGAGAAAUAGAAUGCUGAAAAAUUUCUAUCAUCAGGUUUAUACCAGAAAGGGCAUGGUACCUAGGAAGCAAUUAUAGAAAAUAGCAUUUGUGAGUAUUGGAGAACAUUUCAUCUCCUCCUUUAUUUUACAAAGAAGAAAAUAGAAGCCCAGAAAAGUUAAGUGAUUCAUUCAAAGUUGCUUAUUAGUUAAUAAUCCAAAAUUUAAAUCUAAUUAUUUAUAUUCCCAGCACAAUGCUCUUUCUUCUAAAGCAUUUUACAUUUUAUAUGUGAAAGGGAUUAAAUUAUAGUCUGUUUCUAAAUUGGGCUUCCAUUUAAAUCAAAGACUUGUUUAUUCAACUGUCUUCUCACUUUCCUGCCCUGCUACUACUUCUCUUAAACUUCAUUUAACCUCAAAUAGGACUGGAUGACAUACACCAGUGGUCCUCAGACCUGAGCAUGUGUCAGCAUCACCUGGAGGCUUUGCUAAAACACAGAUUACUGGAGCCAACCCUCAGAGUUUCAGAUUCAUGGACUGAUGCAGAACUGAAACGGCCAACACAAGAAUCUUCAAGGACAAUUGCCUGGGAAUCCUGAGGUCUGGACAGCAACACCCAAAUCUCUUUUUCAUUAAAUCAUAAAAGAAAAUAGUGUAUGGAGAGAUUAAGGCCAGGCCUCUAGAGGAGGGUAAUAUGAGCAUAUAUUUGUAUAAUUAAGCUAAUUUCAAAACAUGACAGAUGGAGUGGAGGUGGUUUACAAAAAUGUUUCCUCUUUACAUGUCUUACUUAUUCUGGAACACUGAAAUGUGCAGUAUGUUGAAACAAAUAAUCUCUACCUGGAUUUCUCAUCAAUGACAUUAUUGACAUUGGGCUCAAUAAUGCUUUGUUGUGAAGGACCCCCUUGUACAUUGUAGAAUGUUUAGCAGCAUCCCUGGCUUCUUACCCACUAGAUAACAGGAACAUCCUACACCCCAUCCCUAGCUGUGAUAACCAAAAUGUCUCCAGCAUUGCAAAUUUCUUUGGAGGAAGAAUUGCACCCUAAUGGUUUCUAUUAGGUAGGUUGGAAAUAAUUUGCCAAUAAAAAUAAUUAUUUUAUUAGCUGGGCACAGUGGCUCAUGCCUGUAAUCCCAGCACUUUGGGAGGCUGAGGCAGAUGGAUCACGAGGUCAGGAACUCAAGACCAUCCUGGAUAACAUGGUGAAACAACAUCUCUACUAAAAAUAUGGAAAAUUAGCCAAGUGUGGUGGCAUGUGCCUCCAAGCUAGUCAGGAGGUUGAGGCAGGAGAAUCACUUGAACCUGGGAGGCGAAGGUUGCAGUAAGCCUAGAUCAUGCUACUGCAUUCCAGCCUGGGUGGCAGAGUGAGAUUCCAUCUCAAAAAAUAAUUAUUGUUUUAUUUUAUACUUAGCACUUGUUAAGUGCCAUAUUUUAAAAUUUAAUCCUCAUAAGAAUUCUCGGAUUUAAGUCCUACACUAUUAUUAGGUUUCUGGCCUACACUAUCUAUGAUUACAGGUUAUAGUACAGUUUCCUCAAUCUUACAGGUGAGGAAACGAGGACUCAGAGGACUUAAGCAACUUUCGUGACAUUGUAUAUGCAAAUGGUAGAGCCAGCAUUAAAAUCUGGGUAGUCUAGCUCUGGAAGCUGCAUUUGGAAACACUCUAUCAUAAGAGUGUCAACCCUUUUUAAUAUCCCAAAUGGUAUGAAAGACAGCAUUACUGACUUACAAGCAAUAAUAAUCCAUAGAUUUCAAUUUGCAUAAUUUUCUGAACGGACGAUAAAACAGAAGGGAAAGACAGGGGAAUGACCUUGUCAGAGGAAGA